This 864-nucleotide ribosomal RNA is filed under the name uncultured bacterium. Its description in RNAcentral is "bacterial SSU rRNA". It matches the Rfam family "Bacterial small subunit ribosomal RNA", at positions 1 to 884 of the family's 1533-position model. The record is from RNAcentral.
UAGAGUUUGAUCCUGGCUCAGGACGAACGCUGGCGGCGUGCUUAACACAUGCAAGUCGAGCGGUAAGGCUCCUUCGGGAGUACACGAGCGGCGAACGGGUGAGUAACACGUGAGCAAUCUGCCCUUCACACGGGGAUAACUCCGGGAAACCGGUGCUAAUACCCGAUACGACCACUUCAGGCAUCUGAUGGUGGUGGAAAGUUCCGGCGGUGAAGGAUGAGCUCGCGGCCUAUCAGCUUGUUGGUGGGGUAAAGGCCUACCAAGGCAACGACGGGUAGCCGGCCUGAGAGGGUGACCGGCCACACUGGGACUGAGACACGGCCCAGACUCCUACGGGAGGCAGCAGUGGGGAAUAUUGGACAAUGGGCGAAAGCCUGAUCCAGCAACGCCGCGUGAGGGAUGACGGCCUUCGGGUUGUAAACCUCUUUCAGUAGGGACGAAGCGCAAGUGACGGUACCUACAGAAGAAGCACCGGCCAACUACGUGCCAGCAGCCGCGGUAAUACGUAGGGUGCGAGCGUUGUCCGGAAUUAUUGGGCGUAAAGGGCUCGUAGGCGGUCUGUCGCGUCGAAAGUGAAAACUCAGGGCUUAACCCUGAGCCUGCUUCCGAUACGGGCAGACUAGAGGUAUGCAGGGGAGAACGGAAUUCCUGGUGUAGCGGUGAAAUGCGCAGAUAUCAGGAGGAACACCGGUGGCGAAGGCGGUUCUCUGGGCAUUACCUGACGCUGAGGAGCGAAAGUGUGGGGAGCGAACAGGAUUAGAUACCCUGGUAGUCCACACCGUAACGUUGGGCGCUAGGUGUGGGACUCAUUCCACGAGUUCCGUGCCGCAGCUAACGCAUUAAGCGCCCCGCCUGGGGAGUACG